GGAAGUCCAAGAUGAAAAGCUGUCCCGAAGCCACAGCCACCUGCGCUUAACUCGCAGUUUCGCCCCUUCCCAGCCCGCUCGCGUCGCGGGCGCCUCUGCUGCGCUCGGCGUCUUCCCGCUAGAAGGGAAGGGCCCGACUGGUGUCAACCGGGGGAGACAUCACUGCACAGGACCCCGCCUGCGCGGCGCAGGCGACACUGGCUCCCUCGGACGUGUGGGUUUUCUGCAAAGUGACCUUCUCCUGAACUUCAGAGGAAGAAAAGUGCUUCCACUUCGUAACAGCAGCGACCACACAGUAAGAAUCUAGCUAUUAUUAUGACUAUUAGUACCGUACAGUAGUUCCAAAGUCAUCAGGCGUGGAUGGAGAAGAAGCGUUGUGGGAAGGGCGGGGAGUGGAGGGAUAAAUAAGAGGAGAUUCCUGCUCUCAAGAACUCCCCGAAUAUCUGUCCUGAAGAAAGGAGACUCUUACGUGCAUGUUCGGACCGGCUCUCUUCCCUCGGUUCCCACCACCGCCAGGAAGAUCCUCUGGGACAGUUUCUCCGAGAGGCUUGAUCUUAGGUUACUCAGUUCCAGUGGGUGUCCCCCAAAGGGGGAAAUUCAAGACCCCAGGCCCAGGGCGAACUCGAGGCCCUCGCUUGUCUCCGGGAGCUUCCUCUUCAACGGUAUCAAGGCGAAGUUCCUCUAAAACAGCAUCUGGCAUCCAGCUCCGCCCCAAGUCGGCGCCCAGCAGCCAGAGACCGUCGAGGAUGAAAGGUGGAGUUCAGCAAUCUCACUGCAAACCUUGUGGAAGUCAAAGCUGAGAUGCCUGGGAGCAGCUUCCGCACAUCCGUGACCCCUGUGACAGCUUCAUGGAACCGCAGAGCACAAGCUCCAGGUUUUCCUCUUGCUUGCUCAGUCCCCAAAGGUCUGAGGAAUGGUUUUAUAAAGGGAGAAAGGAAAGGGUGGGGGAGGCUCAUUUUUAGCUGUGCAGGCUUCGAAUUUGCUUGAAUAAGCCCAGUGUGUUUCGUUUUGGCAUGUGAUCUUCUUCUUACGUUUGAAAACGACCAAAUAUCCUCCCUAAACAAGGGAACGUCUGCGUUCUCACCGUAGAAAAUGUAAGCUCCUUAUAUCUUGUUCUUUGUGGGGGGCGGGGAGGGAGGCGGAGCAGGAGAAUGAAAACAGACUGAAACCGUAAAGGGAAGAAAACAUGCUCCAGGUGAGGCUCGAACUCACAACCUCGGCAUCACCCGCACAUAUACUGCUGUAUAAGUACCGCGCGCUAACCGAUUGCGCCACUGGAGCAUGCUUUCCUUGCGGUCUCGGUGCGCACUCUACAGAGCCACGAGCGGCGGGCGCGCGCGCGAUCCCCGCGACACGCGGGAGCGAGAACGCACGGGCCUGCUCUAGACGCCCCCCCGCCCUUUCCCUUAUUCACCUUGGCAGCGGCUAGCCUGGCAGCGGCUAGCGGCUAGCCUGGCGUUGAUAGAGACGCUUCCAUCUAUCCCGGAGGCAUGUGUGCAAUCUUUCUUCUACUCAACCGGGAAUCAGCAUUUCCCAGGGAUCCAGGGAUGCUCCUUUCAGAAGCCCCGAAAGAAGGCUGAGGAGAGAGGGCGAGCGGAUCCCGGCGCCUCCUCGCCUUGACUCCAAGAAAAGAACCGUUUCCGUGGGAGACACGACAUGGGCUGUCUGGGCGAGGUACGACAUCACCGAGCACCGCCUGGCUGGUCGGUGAUGCAUCCUACUAGAUCGAGGACGCCGAGAAGCAGAAACAGCCCAGCCCUAGCUUGGCCGCUUCUCCCAGCACCCGCUGCGCUCCGGGCGGUUCUACCCACCUCGCUAUCCCGCACCUCCAGGCUGCGCACCCUGGUUCCUCCAAAUCCUCCCCGCGCCUGCCUGAAAACCGUAUUCGAAGUCAUAACUGCUCUUUCGGAAAAACAGCAAAAGGAAUCACUCCUUUGUGCCGCGAGUUACAUCAAGGCGGUGUCCAUCACCCCCACUGCCACCCUUCUCCACCUGGUUUGACCUUUAGAGGUUUAUUGCAAAUGGUUUUCCUCUGAGACAAAAUGCCCACCUAGUAUCCUCAUUCCUGCCACGUUUCGUUUGUUUGCUUGCUUGCUUGUUUUUGGCGUGGGGAAAUCGCAGCUGUCACAUAUACACCAGAUAUGAAGCUUUUGGGCUUUUCGGAAUAAUACCUGUCGUGAGAAGGAGAGUUGUGUAAAGAACAGAAUAAUCUGACCACAUAGUACCUAACAAAUAGUACUGAGAGUAAUAGACCAGUGACCAAGUUUCUCCAUACAGACACAUGAAGGGGUAUGUGUGGAGAACUGUUUCCACAUCUCUGUGUCUACUGCAUUGCUGUAUAGGGAUUAUUGCAUGUGCUUUAAAUACACCUUAAAGUGAGAAGCAGUGAGAAGACACAGGCUCUAUACAUUGCAGCACUAUUCGCAAUAGCCAAGACAUGGAAACAACCUAAAUGCCCAUCGACAAAUGAAUGGGUUAGGAAGAUGUGAUACAUAUAUAUAUAAUGGAAUACUACUCAGCCAUAAAAAGGACAAAAUAAUGCCAUUUGCAGCAACAUGGGUGGAACUAGAGACUCUCAUACUGAGUGAAGAAAGUCAGAAAGAGAAAGACACCAUAUGAUACCACUUAUAUGCGGAGUCUAAAUAUGACACAAAUGAUCUGGAAUGAUCAUGAACAUGUAGGACAGACUAGUGUUUGCUGGGGGGGAAGGGGAGGCAGUGGGAUGCAUUGGAAUCUGAGCUUAGUAGAUAAAAAGUCUUGCUUUGGAGUGGAGAGAUCCUGCUGUAUAGCACAGGGAACUAUAUAUCUAAUCUCUUGUGAUGGAACGUUAUGAAGGAUAAUGUGAGAAAAAGAAUGUAUGUAUAUAUAUGUAUAUUACUGGGUCACUUUGUUAUACAGCAGAAAUUGACAGCACAUUGUGAGUCAAUCAUAAUAAAAAAUUAAAAUAAAUAAAUAAAUAACAAUAGCAGCCACACGUUGGAUGGAGCUUAUCAUGGGCCUGACACUGUUCUAAGCCAUUUAUUUAAACUUCAAAAUAGCACUCAUGGAGCUAUGUUCCAAGUCUGGAUGUAGAUAAGAAGAACCAGUAUCUAGGGAAUUAUUGUUCUUAAAGAGAUGAAAGUUUCUGAGACUCACAGCAUGCCACUGGUUAUUAAACCAGCUUUCACAACAUAGGCAUUAUAAGCAUAAAAUAAUGCUCACGGAGAAAAAUGUAGAUAGAAAACUAAGUGUUUUGAAUUGUUAAUAUUAAAAAAAAUGAAAACAAAAACUUCUGAUCUCUGCCUACUCUUCCAUGGAAAGCUGGCCUGUAUGGACUAUAACAUGGACUCCCCUGCCCUGUGACUUCAACUUGAAUUUAAUUUGUGGGAGCACUAGCAGGAAACCAGAAUGAGAGAGGGCAGAGAGGUUGGAGUAUUCAUUUCUCUGAAUCACUUUCUCUGAAUCAUUUGGUCUAGUUCAUCAAGGUAGACUUUUCCUCCAAGUUCCAGUAAUGGCUCCUUUUCUCUCUCUUUCGGUACUAAGGGUGGUACCAUCCUGAUGUCAGCAGCCCUCUUCUUUGCCCUCCCCUAACCUGCCCACACCUGUAUUAAAGAGCCUCCUUAUGAAAUCCUCCUAAAAUUAUCCCAAUGUGAACACGCUGUCUUUUCUUUCCUGAGAUACUGAUUGAUAGAAAUGUGAUACAAUUGACAACAUUGUUAUGAAUGACAUGAAGUAAUUUUGAGGAUAGUACGUAAAGUUAUGUUUUGAAUAUGGGAGUGAAAUAAUUGAAAUAAACAUAUUUGUGUAAUUGAGGGUGUUCAGAACAUGCUACCC
RNAcentral lists this transfer RNA (3813 nucleotides) under Sus scrofa (pig). Its description in RNAcentral is "lncRNA (ENSSSCG00000048452.2)". Lineage: Eukaryota; Metazoa; Chordata; Mammalia; Artiodactyla; Suidae. The record is from RNAcentral.